CGGGUGAGUAAUGCGUGACCAACCUGCCCCAUGCUCCAGAAUAGCUCUUGGAAACGGGUGGUAAUGCUGGAUGCUCCAACUUGACGCAUGUCUUGUUGGGAAAGUGUUUAGUGGCAUGGGAUGGGGUCGCGUCCUAUCAGCUUGUAGGCGGGGUAAUGGCCCACCUAGGCUUCGACGGGUAGCCGGCCUGAGAGACUGAUCGGCCACAUUGGGACUGAGACACGGCCCAAACUCCUACGGGAGGCAGCAGGA
This 252-nucleotide ribosomal RNA is filed under the name uncultured Gardnerella sp. RNAcentral describes it as "partial 16S ribosomal RNA". It matches the Rfam family "Bacterial small subunit ribosomal RNA", at positions 103 to 354 of the family's 1533-position model. The record is from RNAcentral. Lineage: Bacteria; Bacillati; Actinomycetota; Actinomycetes; Bifidobacteriales; Bifidobacteriaceae.